Long non-coding RNA from Alligator mississippiensis (American alligator), 523 nucleotides. RefSeq lists it as uncharacterized. The transcript has 3 exons. Lineage: Eukaryota; Metazoa; Chordata; Crocodylia; Alligatoridae. The record is from RefSeq and is a predicted model, not a curated record.
UUUUUUUUUAUUUUUGUUUUUUUUAACUGUUAGAUGUAAAAUUUCCAAGGAGCUGGCUAACAGGAUGAUGCACGUUGUCACACUGGAAAACAAGAAGCCAAGGGCCUGACCCGUGCGCGGGAGAUGACUUCUGCUGGGAUUUAUCAUUCGCACGCCUGUCUGCAGAGCGGCUGGCUGGGCCCUCUCUGCUCCGGGGGCUCUCAGCCCCGCUACAGGUCUGGCUGCAGUCCCCAGGCAGGGUGCCGGCCCCUCCAGGAGGAGAUCAGCACUCAGGGACUUUCUCCAGGGACAGCAAGACACAAACCCCAGAAUAAAACUCCUUCCAGCUCCACUCCCUGACAGGAUCCUGAACAAAAGGCGAAGUGUCACAACAUCACUGGGCUGGAUUCCACAGGGCUCCUUGGAUCUGCCUUUCCAUUGGGUCAGGUUUAAUUUGCCCAGAGUGCAGUAUUAAUAGGAUGUAAGCUGCGCCCUUGAACAAUUACCUUAUCAAAGCAUAACAUCUAUGGAAUGAGCAAAGUAU